Non-coding RNA from Xyrichtys novacula (pearly razorfish), 1730 nucleotides. The record is from the annotation of a GenBank genome assembly. NCBI's taxonomy places the organism in Eukaryota, Metazoa, Chordata, Actinopteri, Labriformes, Labridae.
CUAUUUCUGAGGAGAAAAUGAGCAGUGAAGAUUCACCUUGGAGCUAGAACAGGGACGUGCACAUGAUAAUACAGGGGCAGGGGCUCAAGUUUUUUCCAGUCAUUUAUACAAUAUGGAAAUUAAUGUGAAAUUAAACCACAAAUAUGUGUGAUGAACUGUUUUUAAAACUUAAACUUCAAAUAAAAAUUGUAAACUUCAAAACAUAUGCAAAUUUUUAACAAAGAACAUAGUAAUUUACCUCUAUUUACAUCAAAAUGGCGGCAAUGGCCCAGGCGUUCUUUGUAAAAUUAUUUACAAAACACUGUAUAGUCUCACAAAUGUCACUUUUUAUUUAUGCCACUACAAAAAAUGAUGAAUGAUGUAAAUGAUGCAUGAUGUAAAACAUGAUGUAAAAAACUUGUGUAGAUCCUCCUCCAUGUCAGUCCAUGUGUAAUUUUUCCAUAAUUCUUUGUUUUUUGCAGCAUUUUUGUUAGUGUAACUGCAGAUUGUGCUGACAGUCUAUGGCAAAAAAAACAAAAACUGAAAAUGCCUCAACAUGAACCCCUGGUGGUCUCUGAGGGUGAAACCUGCUAACUGCUGCAGCUCUGUCAGCUUCAGUCUCCCAUGCAGAGCUCGGAGCGCAUGUGUGGCUCUGCACCCUUAGCAGCGUUGCUAACUCCUCAGUAAGGAAAGCCUGCUUCAUGUCAGAGUCUCUAAACUCCAGAAGAAGUCGAUAAAAGCCCCUUUCUUUCUAAAAAAAGUCGUUAGGGGGUCUGAAAAGUAAUUGAAUCUAACAACAAAGUCGCUAGGUUUGCAACUACGUGUCCCAGACUGCAUCCCUGCUGAGAGUCCCUCCCUCCCUUCUCAUAUUGCAGGAAGAACGUAAGCGCCCGCCCCUUGUCAAUCAGUCACCAUAUAAUUUUGGAUUGGUUGUUGUGGUGAAGUUUUCCACCAAUAGGAGAGAUGUUGUGGUGUGUUUUUUUUUCUUUUGGCAAGCCUUUUCCGCCUGUAAGACCUGUCGCUAAUGUGUGCAUGCUAUGUUUUCCUGUCUCAUACAGCGCGAUCGAGCGCCGAACGUGAUCAAAAUAAGCAGAAAAAAAGUAUCGCGGACAUAAUUUAUCAUAACUCUGGUUUUAUUUGGCCAAUCAACACAAUUUAAAAACUGGUAUAUAGGUUGAGGUCCUCACUUUUGAGAUAAGUUGAAACGGAGAGUUAACGAGGCUCCGUCUUGCAGCUACAUCCGGUUAAAUAUGUCAUGUGACUUGAACGCUGGGGAGCGUCAAUCGAAUCGAAUCAAACCUAACUCUCAGAUGAAUCUUCAAAAUUCACCUCAGAAAUAUGCUUAUUAUUCUUCUCAGAGUACUGCAGGAUACACACACACACACACACAGACACACACACGCACACACACACACACACACUCAGAGUCUGUUUUUUAGCACCUGCAAAAACAUGCUAUUUACAUAUUUGACAAGAAUGCAGAGGCUUCCUUUUGCCCCUGAAAAAAAUCAAAUUUCAAACACAACUUGACUGCUCAUUUCUCCAAAAGACAACCAUGAAGCUCCAUCCAAACCUGAAGCAGGCAGUUGGUGCAUGUGUACAGUAACCUGAGGGGAGUGAGGUGACUGCUUCUGAGGAGAACAUGAGCAGUGAAGAUUCACCUUGGAGCUAGAACAGGGACGUGCACAUGAUAAUACAGGGGCAGGGGCUCAAGUUUUUUCCAGUCGUUUAUACAAUAUGGAAAUUAAUGU